GUCUACAUUAGACUACCCCGUAGUCCCAGCCGUAAACUAUGGCGCGUUAGGUGUAUCGGUGACCACGAGUCACCGAGGUGCCGAAGGGAAACCGUGAAACGUGCCGCCUGGGAAGUACGGUCGCAAGGCUGAAACUUAAAGGAAUUGGCGGGGAGCACCACAACGGGUGGAGCCUGCGGUUUAAUUGGACUCAACGCCGGGAAAGCUCACCGGAUAAGACAGCGGAAUGAUUGCCGGGCUGAAGACUCUGCAUGACUAGCUG
Molecule: ribosomal RNA, 262 nt
Filed under: uncultured archaeon
Lineage: Archaea
Description: partial 16S ribosomal RNA
Rfam family: Archaeal small subunit ribosomal RNA
Source: RNAcentral